AUUUUUUAAAGUCUGACAAUAAGCUAGGACAAUCGAUUGAGCUGGUCAAAAUUGCUUGCAGUAAUAGCAUAUCACACUGUUCUCUUCUUUGUUCUAGCGAGUCGAUACCAUAAUGAGUACACGCUUCCUCAUAACUAUUAAAAUUUUCAAAGUCUGUAAAAGCGAAGU
Maniola jurtina (meadow brown) is the source of this 168-nucleotide long non-coding RNA. RefSeq lists it as uncharacterized. The record is from RefSeq and is a predicted model, not a curated record. The transcript has 4 exons. Lineage: Eukaryota; Metazoa; Arthropoda; Insecta; Lepidoptera; Nymphalidae.